This 342-nucleotide small RNA is filed under the name Heyndrickxia ginsengihumi. RNAcentral's name for it is "Bacillus ginsengihumi cspA thermoregulator". It matches the Rfam family "cspA thermoregulator", at positions 75 to 428 of the family's 428-position model. The record is from Rfam by way of RNAcentral. Lineage: Bacteria; Bacillati; Bacillota; Bacilli; Caryophanales; Bacillaceae.
CACGUGAUAUCCUCUAGUUUAAUAGUGGUUCUUCAUCUGUUUAAUGCCACAUUUUUAUAGGCACAAAUGUGCUGGUGAUUUAGGAGGAUUAAGAAAUGCAAAACGGUAAAGUAAAAUGGUUUAACAACGAAAAAGGUUACGGUUUUAUCGAAGUUGAAGGCGGAGACGAUGUAUUCGUACAUUUCACUGCUAUUCAAGGCGAAGGAUUCAAAACGUUAGAAGAAGGUCAAGAAGUUUCUUUUGAAAUCGUUGAAGGUAAUCGUGGACCACAAGCUGCUAACGUAACUAAACUUUAAUUAUAAACUAAUGAAUAAAGGCUGGCAUUUUUGUCAGCCUUUUUAU